This 443-nucleotide ribosomal RNA is filed under the name uncultured bacterium. RNAcentral's name for it is "partial 16S ribosomal RNA". It matches the Rfam family "Bacterial small subunit ribosomal RNA", at positions 338 to 795 of the family's 1533-position model. The record is from RNAcentral.
CCUACGGGAGGCAGCAGUGGGGAAUAUUGGGCAAUGGGCGCAAGCCUGAACCAGCAACGCCGCGUGAAGGAAGACGGCUUUCGGGUUGUUAACUUCUUUUCACAGGGAAGUAGCAAGUGACGGUACCUGAGGAAUAAGCCACGGCUAACUACGUGCCAGCAGUCGCGGUAAUCCGUCGGCGGCAAGCGUUAUCCGGAUUUACUGGGUGUAAAGGGCGUGUAGGCGGGGACGCAAGUCAGAUGUGAAAACCACGGGCUCAACCUGUGGUUUGCAUUUGACGCUGGGUUUCUUGAGUACUGGAGAGGCAGGCGGAAUUCGUAGUGUAGCGGUGAAAUGCGUAGAUAUUAGGAAGAACACCAGUGGCGAAGGCGGUCUGCUAGACUGCAACUGACGCUGAGGCGCGAAAGCGUGGGGAGCAAACAGGAUUAGAUACCCUUGUAGUC